GAUGAACGCUGGCGGCGUGCCUAAUACAUGCAAGUCGAGCGAACAGACGAGGAGCUUGCUUCUCUGACGUUAGCGGCGGACGGGUGAGUAACACGUGGAUAACCUACCUAUAAGACUGGGAUAACUUCGGGAAACCGGAGCUAAUACCGGAUAAUAUUUUGAACCGCAUGGUUCAAUAGUGAAAGACGGUUUUGCUGUCACUUAUAGAUGGAUCCGCGCCGCAUUAGCUAGUUGGUAAGGUAACGGCUUACCAAGGCAACGAUGCAUAGCCGACCUGAGAGGGUGAUCGGCCACACUGGAACUGAGACACGGUCAAGACUCCUACGGGAGGAAGCAGUAGGGAAUCUUCCGCAAUGGGCGAAAGCCUGACGGAGCAACGCCGCGUGAGUGAUGAAGGUCUUCGGAUCGUAAAACUCUGUUAUUAGGGAAGAACAAAUGUGUAAGUAACUAUGCACGUCUUGACGGUACCGAAUCAGAAAGCCACGGCUAACUACGUG
RNAcentral lists this ribosomal RNA (497 nucleotides) under uncultured bacterium. RNAcentral describes it as "partial 16S ribosomal RNA". It matches the Rfam family "Bacterial small subunit ribosomal RNA", at positions 28 to 507 of the family's 1533-position model. The record is from RNAcentral.